This 216-nucleotide ribosomal RNA is filed under the name Glomeromycotina sp. Its description in RNAcentral is "partial small subunit ribosomal RNA". The stretch from base 75 to 216 matches the Rfam family "Eukaryotic small subunit ribosomal RNA", at positions 721 to 864 of the family's 1831-position model. Lineage: Eukaryota; Fungi; Glomeromycota. The record is from RNAcentral.
GGGUCAGUAGGCUGGUCGUGCCACCGGUACGUACUGGUCUCACUGAUCCCUCCUUCCUGAAGAACCGUAAUGCCAUUAAUUUGGUGUUGCGGGGAAGCAGGACUGUUACUUUGAAAAAAUUAGAGUGUUUAAAGCAAGCUAACGCUUGAAUACAUUAGCAUGGAGUAAUGAAAUAGGACGAUCGAUCCUAUUUUGUUGGUUUCUAGGAUUGACGUA